Molecule: ribosomal RNA, 292 nt
Filed under: uncultured bacterium
Lineage: Bacteria
Description: partial 16S ribosomal RNA
Rfam family: Bacterial small subunit ribosomal RNA
Source: RNAcentral
GUGUCAGCCGCCGCGGUAAGACAGAGGUGGCAAGCGUUGUUCGGUGUCACUGGGCUUAAAGGGUGCGUAGGCGGAUGAGCAAGCGCGUUGUGAAAUACCCCGGCUUAACCGGGGAACGGCUUCGCGUACUACUCGUCUUGAGGCAGGUAUGGGUGCGGGGAACUGUUAGUGGAGCGGUGGAAUGCGUAGAUAUUAACAGGAACGCCGGCGGUGAAGACGCCGCACUGGGCCUGAACUGACGCUGAUGCACGAAAGCGUGGGGAUCGAACGGGAUUAGAUACCCGCGUAGUCC